This 69-nucleotide transfer RNA is filed under the name Siemssenius fulvipennis. RNAcentral describes it as "tRNA-Gln". Lineage: Eukaryota; Metazoa; Arthropoda; Insecta; Coleoptera; Chrysomelidae. The record is from RNAcentral.
UAUGUUUUAAUAUAAAGUGUAUAAUAAUUUUUGAAAUUAUAAGAAAUAGUUAAAUUCUAUUAAACAUAG